GAGGCGUGGCCGAGUGGUCGAAGGCGGCAGUCUUGAAAACUGUUGAGCCGAGAGGUUCCGUGGGUUCGAAUCCUACCGCCUCC
This 83-nucleotide transfer RNA is filed under the name human gut metagenome. It matches the Rfam family "tRNA". From Rfam's summary of the family: Transfer RNA (tRNA) molecules are approximately 80 nucleotides in length. Their secondary structure includes four short double-helical elements and three loops (D, anti-codon, and T loops). Further hydrogen bonds mediate the characteristic L-shaped molecular structure. tRNAs have two regions of fundamental functional importance: the anti-codon, which is responsible for specific mRNA codon recognition, and the 3' end, to which the tRNAs corresponding amino acid is attached (by aminoacyl-tRNA synthetases). tRNAs cope with the degeneracy of the genetic code in two manners: having more than one tRNA (with a specific anti-codon) for a particular amino acid; and 'wobble' base-pairing, i.e. permitting non-standard base-pairing at the 3rd anti-codon position. RNAcentral also lists the same sequence under 1 other name. The record is from RNAcentral.